UUUCCGUAGGUGAACCUGCGGAAGGAUCAUUAAUGAAUUCACUAUGGAGUUGUUGCUGGCCUCUAGGGGCAUGUGCACGCUUCACUAGUCUUUCAACCACCUGUGAACUUUUGAUAGAUCUGUGAAGUCGUCUCUCAAGUCGUCAGACUUGGUUGCUGGGAUUUAAACGUCUCGGUGUGACUACGCAGUCUAUUUACUUACACACCCCAAAUGUAUGUCUACGAAUGUCAUUUAAUGGGCCUUGUGCCUUUAAACCAUAAUACAACUUUCAACAACGGAUCUCUUGGCUCUCGCAUCGAUGAAGAACGCAGCGAAAUGCGAUAAGUAAUGUGAAUUGCAGAAUUCAGUGAAUCAUCGAAUCUUUGAACGCACCUUGCGCCCCUUGGUAUUCCGAGGGGCAUGCCUGUUUGAGUGUCAUUAAAUUCUCAAACUCACUUUGGUUUCUUUCCAAUUGUGAUGUUUGGAUUGUUGGGGGCUGCUGGCCUUGACAGGUCGGCUCCUCUUAAAUGCAUUAGCAGGACUUCUCAUUGCCUCUGCGCAUGAUGUGAUAAUUAUCACUCAUCAAUAGCACGCAUGAAUAGAGUCCAGCUCUCUAAUCGUCCGCAAGGACAAUUUGACAAUUUGACCUCAAAUCAGUAGGACUACCCGCUGAACUUAAA
This 659-nucleotide ribosomal RNA is filed under the name Pleurotus ostreatus (oyster mushroom). Its description in RNAcentral is "eukaryotic LSU rRNA". The stretch from base 264 to 417 matches the Rfam family "5.8S ribosomal RNA". The record is from RNAcentral. Lineage: Eukaryota; Fungi; Basidiomycota; Agaricomycetes; Agaricales; Pleurotaceae.